This 25-nucleotide ribosomal RNA is filed under the name Thaxterogaster sp. H6739. Its description in RNAcentral is "partial 28S ribosomal RNA". RNAcentral also lists the same sequence under 1 other name. The record is from RNAcentral. Lineage: Eukaryota; Fungi; Basidiomycota; Agaricomycetes; Agaricales; Cortinariaceae.
CAGGUAGGACUACCCGCUGAACUAA